CCCCGGGCUCAACCUGGGAACUGCGUUNUGAACUGGGUAGCUAGAGUAUGUCAGAGGGGGGUAGAAUUCCACGUGUAGCAGUGAAAUGCGUAGAGAUGUGGAGGAAUACCGAUGGCGAAGGCAGCCCCCUGGGAUAAUACUGACGUUCAUGCUCGAAAGCGUGGGUAGCAAACAGGAUUAGAUACCCUGGUAGUCCACGCCCUAAACGAUGUCGAUUAGCUGUUGGGCAGCUUGACUGCUUAGUAGCGUAGCUAACACGUGAAAUCGACCGCCUGGGGAGUACGGUCGCAAGAUUAAAACUCAAAGGAAUUGACGGGGACCCGCACAAGCGGUGGAUGAUGUGGAUUAAUUCGAUGCAACGCGAAGAACCUUACCUGGUCUUGACAUGUACGGAACCUUCCAGAGACGGAAGGGUGCCUUCGGGAACCGUAACACAGGUGCUGCAUGGCUGUCGUCAGCUCGUGUCGUGAGAUGUUGGGUUAAGUCCCGCAACGAGCGCAACCCUUGUCAUUAGUUGCCAUCAUUCAGUUGGGCACUCUAAUGAGACUGCCGGUGACAAACCGGAGGAAGGUGGGGAUGACGUCAAGUCCUCAUGGCCCUUAUGGCCAGGGCUUCACACGUCAUACAAUGGUCGGUACAAAGGGUAGCCAAGCCGCGAGGCGGAGCCAAUCUCAUAAAACCGAUCGUAGUCCGGAUUGCACUCUGCAACUCGAGUGCAUGAAGUCGGAAUCGCUAGUAAUCGUAGGUCAGCAUACUGCGGUGAAUACGUUCCCGGGUCUUGUACACACCGCCCGUCACACCAUGGGAGUGGGGGAUACCAGAAGUAGGUAGGGUAACCGCAAGG
Molecule: ribosomal RNA, 844 nt
Filed under: uncultured bacterium
Lineage: Bacteria
Description: bacterial SSU rRNA
Rfam family: Bacterial small subunit ribosomal RNA
Source: RNAcentral